Small nucleolar RNA from Monopterus albus (swamp eel), 91 nucleotides. NCBI's taxonomy places the organism in Eukaryota, Metazoa, Chordata, Actinopteri, Synbranchiformes, Synbranchidae. The record is from Ensembl.
UUGGGGACGAAUGAUGAUGCUGAGAAAAGGUUUCGCUCAGUGAGCUGAUGAUAUCAUAUGAUGUCACAUCUUCUCUUGGCUGUCUGACCAA